UUUUAGAUACAAUAAGGUAAGGUAAGUGUCCUGCUAUGAACAGUAACAGACCUUUUAGAUACAAUAAGGUAAGGUAAGUGUCCUGCUAUGAACAGUAACAGACCUUUUAGAUACAAUAAGGUAAGGUAAGUGUCCUGCUAUGAACAGUAACAGACCUUUUAGAUACAAUAAGGUAAGGUAAGUGUCCUGCUAUGAACAGUAACAGACCUU
Long non-coding RNA from Perca fluviatilis (European perch), 210 nucleotides. RefSeq lists it as uncharacterized. The record is from RefSeq and is a predicted model, not a curated record. The transcript is spliced from 3 exons. NCBI's taxonomy places the organism in Eukaryota, Metazoa, Chordata, Actinopteri, Perciformes, Percidae.